GGCAUGGCGGCGUGCUUACACAUGCAGUUCGACGAAGCACCUGAGAAUGAUUCCUUCCGGAUGAAGUCUCUUUGUGACUGAGUGGCGGACGGGUGAGUAACGCGUGGGUAACCUGCCUCACACAGGGGGAUAACAGUUGGAAACGACCGCUAAUACCGCAUAACCCGCUGGUGCCGCAUGGCACUGACGGAAAAGAUUUAUCGGUGUGAGAUGGACCCGCGUCUGAUUAGCCAGUUGGCAGGGUAACGGCCUACCAAAGCGACGGUCGGUAGCCGGCCUGAGAGGGCGGACGGCCACAUUGGGACUGAGACACGGCCCAAACUCCUACGGGAGGCAGCAGUGGGGAAUAUUGCACAAUGGGGGAAACCCUGAUGCAGCAACGCCGCGUGGGUGAAGGAGCGUUUCGGCGCGUAAAGCCCUGUCAGCGGGGAAGAAGAAAGACGGUACCCGACCAAGAAGCCCCGGCUAACUACGUGCCAGCAGCCGCGGUAAUACGUAGGGGGCGAGCGUUAUCCGGAAUUACUGGGUGUAAAGGGAGCGUAGACGGCGAGGUAAGCCUGAAGUGGAAGCCCGCGGCCCAACCGCGGAACUGCUUUGGGAACUGUUUUGCUGGAGUAUGGGAGGGGUAAGCGGAAUUCCUGGUGUAGCGGUGAAAUGCGUAGAUAUCAGGAGGAACACCGGCGGCGAAGGCGGCUUACUG
RNAcentral lists this ribosomal RNA (700 nucleotides) under uncultured bacterium. Its description in RNAcentral is "bacterial SSU rRNA". It matches the Rfam family "Bacterial small subunit ribosomal RNA", at positions 34 to 731 of the family's 1533-position model. The record is from RNAcentral.